GUGACUGUGGUGUAGCGGCCCUGCACGCCAGAUCGUGGCUCUGGAGGUCCUCGGUUCGAUUCCGGGCAGUCACCCCA
RNAcentral lists this transfer RNA (77 nucleotides) under Nocardioidaceae bacterium. RNAcentral's name for it is "tRNA-His". It matches the Rfam family "tRNA". From Rfam's summary of the family: Transfer RNA (tRNA) molecules are approximately 80 nucleotides in length. Their secondary structure includes four short double-helical elements and three loops (D, anti-codon, and T loops). The record is from RNAcentral. Lineage: Bacteria; Bacillati; Actinomycetota; Actinomycetes; Propionibacteriales; Nocardioidaceae.